Molecule: ribosomal RNA, 800 nt
Filed under: uncultured bacterium
Lineage: Bacteria
Description: bacterial SSU rRNA
Rfam family: Bacterial small subunit ribosomal RNA
Source: RNAcentral
GCGCUAAAUGAUGAGCCUAAGUCGGAUUAGCUAGUUGGUGGGGUAAAGGCCUACCAAGGCGACGAUCUGUAGCGGGUCUGAGAGGAUGAUCCGCCACACUGGGACUGAGACACGGCCCAGACUCCUACGGGAGGCAGCAGUGGGGAGUAUUGGACAAUGGGCGAAAGCCUGAUCCAGCCAUGCCGCGUGUGUGAAGAAGGCCUUUUGGUUGUAAAGCACUAUAAGCGAGGAGGAGGCUACUAGUACUAAUACUACUGGAUAGUGGACGUUACUCGCAGAAUAAGCACCGGCUAACUCUGUGCCAGCAGCCGCGGUAAUACAGAGGGUGCGAGCGUUAAUCGGAUUUACUGGGCGUAAAGCGUGCGUAGGCGGCUUUUUAAGUCGGAUGUGAAAUCCCCGAGCUUAACUUGGGAAUUGCAUUCGAUACUGGGAAGCUAGAGUAUGGGAGAGGAUGGUAGAAUUCCAGGUGUAGCGGCGUAAUGCGUAGAGAUCUGGAGGAAUACCGAUGGCGAAGGCAGCCAUCUGGCCUAAUACUGACGCUGAGGUACGAAAGCAUGGGGAGCAAACAGGAUUAGAUACCCUGGUAGUCCAUGCCGUAAACGAUGUCUACUAGCCGUUGGGGCCUUUGAGGCUUUAGUGGCGCAGCUAACGCGAUAAGUAGACCGCCUGGGGAGUACGGUCGCAAGACUAAAACUCAAAUGAAUUGACGGGGGCCCGCACAAGCGGUGGAGCAUGUGGUUUAAUUCGAUGCAACGCGAAGAACCUUACCUGGCCUUGACAUACUAGAAACUUUCCAGAGU